This is a long non-coding RNA of Oxyura jamaicensis (ruddy duck), 3546 nucleotides long. RefSeq lists it as uncharacterized. The record is from RefSeq and is a predicted model, not a curated record. Lineage: Eukaryota; Metazoa; Chordata; Aves; Anseriformes; Anatidae. The transcript is spliced from 2 exons.
ACGCAAAGGCAGCAGGUCCCGGGCUGCCACGCAGCAGGUCCUUGUCACCACCGGCGGUGCCAGCUCUCAGCUAAGAUGACAGAACACAAACGAACGGAGGACCCAGCACAGCUGGUACACACUGGAGAUCGUUUAAGGAUGAUUGUGUGCAGGGCAAAUGAAUAAAAAGAAAAGCUGUACAAUGAUCCUCGUAGGAGUAGUGCAGGUCCGUGUACUGCACAUGACAAAAGGGAUGAAUUCCCACUGGACUUGUGGAGGUGAGGUAAUGUAUUUGAAAUACAGUGCGGUUGAGUAUAAAACAGAAAAAAGAUAUCUUUUUCUCUUUGGCUUGCAUUAAGAAAGGCUGUUCUGAUAGCAUUCAUUUCACGUUCACACGGAGAGGAAAUGAGAGUUGUGGUCAGCAGCAGUCGGCUGCAACAAGGGACCCUGCGAAAGCGCAGCUAUAGCCUGCAUAUGGGACCAGCUUGCAGCUCAACACUGAGCAAGCGCUGCAGGCACACAGAGCUGAAAACAAACCUUUCCCACAUCCAAGGAUUGAGCAAAAAGGGAAGUGCUGUUUGAGAGAAGUGCUAACAACAUGGAGAGCUGAAAAGGCUAUUCUGUUUGGGGGACCUAACACUGUACUCAAACACACAAAUCUUUCCAUUAACUCUCCCUUGCAGAACUGGCAUGUGAAUUUAGCUGGCCAGGCACAAAAUGUUUCAUCAUCAUUGCUUUGGCAAUUCGCAGAUGAAAAUGAUGGAGUAUACAACUUAUAUUUUGCUCCUCAUUUGAAAAAUAUGGCAUGGCAUGACUGGAUGAGUCGAACUUUGCAAUGCCGUAUUUGCGUUGAUAAGAUUUGUACCCGGUCUCUGCGGGUGGGUUGGGGCUCGAUUUUAGUGUUUCAUGGCCAUCAGUACUAGUUGAAACCCGACUCUGUACUGAGACGUGCUUAAUAGGAAUAAAAGGUCUGUUAUUCUAAAUCAGAUUACUAGUCCAGCCAAUGUGAUAUCCUGUCUCCAGCAGUGGCCAGCAUCAAAUACUUCAGAGAGACACACAAAACCCCACAAUGGACAAUCACGUUAUAAUCUGCUUAUUUGGUUAAGUUUCCACUGCUGCCAAGGAUGUAGGAGAGACUGGUUUAUGCCCCGAAGCACAAAACUUCUUGUCCUUUAUGUCCUUAAUAGCAGAAUAACCCAUCAAUAACAUGUAAAAAUGAUUGCCAUUUUUCGAAAGAGCAGUGCUAUCUCCCGUCAGUUGUUACUGCCCGGGCUUGAGAACACGUCGAGCCUACGCUCCAAGACUGACAUUAAAAGCUUUCAGCCCCAUAAUGUACUCCGGUGUUUUUCAUUUGAUGAAGGCUGCGAACAGGAGCAUCUUCAGGAGAAAGAGCACGCAGUGAUGACAGAAAUGAAAUUUCUUCCAAGGCAAGAAUAUCCAUGGCUUCUCGUUUCCCUGCAGGUUUUUCAAGCAGCCUGAGAAGGUGAAAGGCUCCUGAGACAAAGGGUUUAAUUCUCCGCAACUUGGCCAUGGGACAGAUCAGGAUUCCUUCCCUCUCUGGCAGCCACAGAGGCAAGAUACCCAGGGCAGCAAGGAGCACACAGGGCUACUCAGCAGGGUAUUUUUAAUACCUUUGUAUAAACAUGUGGACUUUUUUUUUUAAUUCUUGCCAAGCCAAACUCACAUUUAACUUGGUGCCUCUGUAAAAAAUGUAGAUUUUGUGUUUGCAAAUAUUUUUUUUUUCUUACUAAAUUGAUCCUUUUCCAUUGAUUUCUGCCUCUUUGGUUCUUCUGUGUCAAGCCAAAACAGCGUGGGUGUCCUACGAGCCCCUCACUUGAUGUCAGCAGACUCCUGGGAAUAGCAUUUAGUGGUUGUCACCUGCCCCAAAGCCAGCAUGGAUAGCAAAAAAAAAAAAAAAAAAAAGGACCUUUGAGGUUUCGUGGAGCUUCUAAUACUGCUGGCUAUAAUUGUGGUUUGUUUAUUUACUUUGUAAGUUACUUGUCAUGCUGAUUUUGCUGGAAAAUGAAAACACAGAGCUAUUUUAACUCGCGCUGUACCCCUGAAUGCUGCAAUAUGCUUUAAUGAUUUAUUCCCCCACCUCUUGAUGUAGUGUCCAUAUACAAAUCCAAGAUGACAGGAAACAAGCAGGUAAUACCAGAAUCAGUGUAAUGGGUGUAGCAGUAGAAAAGGAGAUAGGACGUAACAGCGUUCCAGGUACUGAUGCCAUAAAUAGCACCGGGGAACUCCUAAGAGGGUGUGAGGAUUGACAGAGGAAGGUACAAAGGUGGAAUGAAGAGGAAGGAAGAAUAACGUGAAUGAGAACAAGAAGUUCCCAUGCGUAUAUUAGAAAGUGCUCAAAUCACCAGCAUUCUGAGGUGGUUUAACUACACAUAAAUCUACAAAUUAACAGAUACUUCGUCCAGUCCAUACAGAAAAAUAACCCUGAAGACAACUGGAAGAAGUUCCUUUUUUUGUCAUAGAUAAAAAACAGGAAGGAGAAAUUGUAGCAGAAAAGCAUCCAUCCUGGAUCCACUUCCCGACAGCAGGGGGAAGCUAAUGAAAUAUUGAAAUAACACUCAUCUUCUGAACUAGAAACUUGAAUUUGGCAAAGGAUAUAGCAAUAAAAUGGUAUUUCAUACCUGGAAAUCAAAUGUAUGGAAAUUAAAGACUCCUAUACCAAUAAUCAGAAGAGUGGUGGCAGCAAAUAUUAUUAAAAUCUGCUGGACAAGAAGGAGAGGGUGAAGAAACUCCAGAAGUGCUAUGUGAAAGUAAAUGAAAGUUUUUCAGAAAAAGGAACAAGAAUUUGUGACUUUGGGGAAUGGCUGUUGCAAAAAAAUGAACUUCGCAACGGAAAUUGUCUGGAAAAGAAUUACAGAAAAAUACACAGAGUGCAUAUAAAUACGGAGAAACAUUGGAGAGAGGAUAGCAAAAGACCACCAGAGAUCACACUUGGUCCAACCAAGGACGCAAACGGAAAAUGGCUUUGUAAAAAUGUUAGAGAAGGCAGCUGAAGCUUGUGCUGCCUGCUGGUGCUACCAGGCCCCCAGCCUUCCCCUUGCUCUUGCAGGAGCCGCCGAGCCUGCGGCGGAGCACAGCCCAUUAGCUGAGACCUGGAGCACCUCUGCCUUUUAUCAUCCCUGCUUCCUGCUGACUCCAGCAGGUUAUUUUUUACAUUAGCACAUGCAGAAGGUUAUGUUCAUUUAUAUAUAUUUUUUUCUGUAAGGGUCUCCAGUGGGAAGCUAACCAUUAGUGAGCUCCCGUUAUAGCUCAUAUUUACUAUUUAUAAAAUUAGUACCAAAAAUACUAAAUCGAAGCACAAAAUUGUUCUUGCUCAUGUGAUUUCCGAGUCGGUUGUCAACGCUACUUUAGAAUUCUUUGGGUUUUUUAAUUUAAGGAUCUUCAUAUGUCCCUAAUCUAAGGCUCUUAAUUAUAUGCGUGUGUGUGUGUGUAUAUAUAUAUAUAUACAAGCAUAUGUUUAUAUAGACUCUAUGUGCGCACAUGCGUAUUAAACCUCUGAACAUCUUUCAAGUUAAGCGUAGCACUCAAAUAAAUUGCGCUCAAAUCUGA